Molecule: ribosomal RNA, 439 nt
Filed under: uncultured bacterium
Lineage: Bacteria
Description: bacterial SSU rRNA
Rfam family: Bacterial small subunit ribosomal RNA
Source: RNAcentral
AACGCGAAGAACCUUACCCAGAUUUGACAUUCAGAGGACGAUACUAGAGAUAGUAUUUCCCUUCGGGGCCUUUGAACAGGUGCUGCAUGGCUGUCGUCAGCUCGUGCCGUGAGGUGUUUGGUUAAGUCCAGCAACGAGCGCAACCCUUAUCAUUAGUUGCCAACAUUUAAGGUGGGAACUCUAAUGAGACUGCCUGGGUUAACCAGGAGGAAGGUGAGGAUGACGUCAAGUCCGCAUGGCCCUUAUAUCUGGGGCUACACACGUGCUACAAUGGUCGGUACAGAAGGCAGCGAAGCCGCGAGGUGGAGCAAAUCCCAAAAGCCGAUCUCAGUUCAGAUUGUAGUCUGCAACUCGACUACAUGAAGACGGAAUUGCUAGUAAUGGCAGGUCAGCAACACUGCCGUGAAUACGUUCCCGGGCCUUGUACACACCGGUACUA